CCUCUUCGAUCUGCUGGGGGCAGAUGAAGUGGAUGUGGCUGUCGAAGCCGCCCGCCGUCAGAAUGCGCCCCUCGGCGGCGAUGGCCUCGGUGCCGGGGCCGAUGAUGAUGUCGACGUUCGGCUGGGUGUCGGGGUUGCCGGCCUUGCCGAUGGCGACGAUGCGGCCGUCCUUCAGGCCGACAUCGGCUUUGUAGAUGCCGGUAUGGUCCACGAUCAGCGCGUUGGUAAUCACGGUAUCCACCGCACCCUCGGCGCGGCUGGCCUGCGACUGGCCCAUCCCGUCGCGG
Molecule: small RNA, 287 nt
Filed under: Palleronia abyssalis
Lineage: Bacteria; Pseudomonadati; Pseudomonadota; Alphaproteobacteria; Rhodobacterales; Roseobacteraceae
Description: 5' ureB small RNA
Rfam family: 5' ureB small RNA
Source: Rfam by way of RNAcentral